CGCGUACUCCUCGUUGCCAUUCGCGAAUAUUGAAUGCGAAUGGCAUCAGGAGGUCGGCGAG
RNAcentral lists this microRNA precursor (61 nucleotides) under Pristionchus pacificus. RNAcentral describes it as "microRNA ppc-mir-8325 precursor". Lineage: Eukaryota; Metazoa; Nematoda; Chromadorea; Rhabditida; Neodiplogasteridae. The record is from miRBase by way of RNAcentral.